GAUGAACGCUGGCGGCGUGCCUAAUACAUGCAAGUCGAGCGAACGGACGAGAAGCUUGCUUUUCUGAUUUUAGCGGCGGACGGGUGAGUAACACGUGGAUAACCUACCUAUAAGACUGGGAUAACUUCGGGAAACCGGAGCUAAUACCGGAUAAUAUUUUGAACCGCAUGGUUCAAAAGUGAAAGACGGUCUUGCUGUCACUUAUAGCUGGAUCCGCGCUGCAUUAGUUAGUUGGUAAGGUAACGGCUUAGCAAGGCAACGAUGCAUAGCCGACCUGAGAGGGUGAUCGGCCACACUGGAACUGAGACACGGUCCAGACUCCUACGGGAGGCAGCAGUAGGGAAUCUUCCGCAAUGGGCGAAAGGCUGACGGAGCAACGCCGCGUGAGUGAUGAAGGUCUUCGGAUCGUAAAACGCUGUUAGUAGGGAAGAACAUAUGUGUAAGUAACUGUGCACAUCUUGACAGUACCUAAUCAGAAAGCCACGGCUAACUACGUG
This 497-nucleotide ribosomal RNA is filed under the name uncultured bacterium. RNAcentral describes it as "partial 16S ribosomal RNA". It matches the Rfam family "Bacterial small subunit ribosomal RNA", at positions 28 to 507 of the family's 1533-position model. The record is from RNAcentral.